Molecule: long non-coding RNA, 9952 nt
Filed under: Brassica napus (rape)
Lineage: Eukaryota; Viridiplantae; Streptophyta; Magnoliopsida; Brassicales; Brassicaceae
Description: long non-coding RNA (BNAP_LNC003778)
Source: RNAcentral
AUGCCUGCAGCUGCAACUAUCACACCACCAUCAUCCCCACAACCUUCUCAUAAAAAUGUCUCAACUCAUUCUUCAACAGCUUCGGAUCCAGAACCUACGCAAGAUGCUUCUACUUCACCUCCUCCUACUCCUCCUCCUACGUCUGUUCCCCAUGAAAACUCUCCUACUCCAAGAACCUCUUCGUCUUCUUCUUCAGUGGUUGUUCCUGUAGUUCUUGCCUGCGUGGGCGGUGUUGUUCUCGUCCUCCUUGUAGCUACCGGUGUGUUCUACUUUAAAAAUAAAGUAGGGAAGUCAGUGAAUCCUUGGCGUACAGGUCUUAGCGGACAACUUCAGAAAGUAUUUGUAACUGGUAAUAAUAUUCUUUCUCAUUUGUCACGUUAUGUUUGGUGAGUUCACUUAACUUCAUAAUGUUUCUCAACUAAUGUGUGUUUUUAUUACUCAGGUAUCCCAACUCUCAAAAGAUCAGAGAUUGAAGCUGCAUGUGAAGACUUCAGUAAUGUCAUUGGAUCAUGCCCCAUUGGGAAGCUCUUCAAAGGAACACUAUCAAGUGGAGUGGAGAUAGCUGUUGCUUCUAUUGACACUACUUGUGCCAAUGACUGGAAAGAAAAUACAGAGAUUCAAUUCAGGAAGAAGGUAUGUUAUAUUAGUUAUACUUUUUAUAUGUGUUACAAAAAAAAAAAACCACGUCUCGCUCGGUCGUCAAAAGUACUCUGACGAGCAGAUCAAGUAAGUUUUCGGAUCUCACCUCCCUAUCUCUUCGAGAGUAGGAUUCGUAAUCUGGUGGAUUAGUUACAAGAUUUAGUACUUGAGAAUCUGCUGCUGACGGUUUAUCCAUCGUGUGGUUGUUGUAUUGUAGUGUGGAGUACAAUCUCUCGUAUGUGUAUCAGUAUCACACCAUGUAUGCUUGCUCCGAUACGCAUUUUUGGUUUCAGGUUCUUUAAGGAAUCGAGUGUCGAAGAAAGAGAGCACGCUGAGAAGUUGAUUCAUCCUGCUCUCCGUGCUUAUUUCUUUUGAAUGUUUGUGGUGUGAUCUUCAGGGACAUGGCAUUUCAAUCAAAUGCUUCUGGAACAGUUAAAGCGGCUUCAAGGGAAUUUUAAGGUCUCGCGUACUCUCGUGGGGUUAUACUCUAUGAAGCUCUCUAGCAAUGUAUCAGCUAGCUUGUGUGUUAGUUUCUCAAGGUUUUGUGAUGCAGAGCUUUGACGAUUGGUUGUUUUUAUGUAUAUAUCGAGAAAUAUUUUAAAUACAUUAAAAAUAACUAUGUCGUCUUCACACUUUGUAUAUUGCGCCUCACAGAGCUUUGACGAUUGGUUGUUUUUAUGUAUAUAUCGAGAAAUAUUUUAAAUACAUUAAAAAUAACCAAUUCAACUUUUUUAUCUAUAAAAAAUCAAAAUUUUUUAAAAAAAUUUUUGGUCAAAUUAGAUCCUUUUAUAUCGGAAUUUUAGAAGAUACAUAGCUUAAAUUAGAUAUGUUUUAAUUUUUUAUUCAUCUAUAAAUAUACUUCUCUUUCUUUGUAAAUUUAAAACACCUCUAGUUCAUUAUCUAAGAUGAAAAAUGAUGUUCAACCUUCGCUUAUUGGUCUCUUCAUAGUCACAGUUCUUCUGUUCGGUUGAUAUUUAUAUUUACAAUUUUAUUAUUAUAUUCAAAAAUCAUUUAAAAUUAAAGUUAUUCUGAUAUCAUAUUAUUUUAUGUACUGAUAUAACAUUUAUAUCGAAUUCUAUAACUUUGGGUGUAGAAAUUUUUUCCAAAAUAAUCAAUGAUUAAGAAAGAAGAUGUUCAUACUUUAAGUUUUUUUCCCUAUAAAUAUGCAAAAAAACUCUCUAAGCAUAUGUUUUACCAAAAACAUUAAUUUCUAUUUAAAUACGAAGACUAAAGUUUUGUUUUAACUAUUAUAAUAACAGGAGUAAUGACGAUUGCUCAGAAAGGAGGACCACCACAUAAAUUACUUCCUUGUACAAUAGAAUACAAACUGAAAAAUGGAGACUGUACUAAGGACGAUUGUAAAGCUGAAUGUACCAGAAAAAGGAAUGGGAUUGGUGAAUGCAUUGGCCCGCAGGUGGGGGGGCCUUGCUUAUGCAUGUAUCAAAAACAUAAAAAUAAUAUGUGUUACCCUUGAUUUUUUUAUCUACAUUGGAACUCAAAUAAUAUUUAUAAUAAUACACGUCUUUAUCAGAGGAAAAAACAUAACAUUAUUAAUUAUUGUUAGUGUUUGUGGCAUAAUAAAUUGUAUUAUGUUACCAAAUAUAAAUAUAAAUAACAAAUAUUAAUAUGUCGUUCGUCUCUUUAACUUUUCUUUUUCUUCGGUAGCGUGAAUUAACAAAUAUUAUAUUAUAAUUAGUACUUAUUUUAUAUAAAUUUGAAAGAAAAAAUAAUAAUUUUUUUUAAUCAUCCACAGCCUCGUCAUCAUCACUCCAUCGGUCUUCUUCUUCAUCAUCCUUGUCCACUUUUCUGGCGAAAGCAUCUCAACGGUCAAAAAUGCUUCUCAAGACGGUUUCUUCGUCUUCUGCUGCUCGUGAGUUUCCAUGGCGGAAUCAAGGACGUUUCUCCUCUGCUAUCCUCCGCGAACCUUCCUGGAAAAUACACCACCGGUAAUCGGAUCCUGAUGCAGUGAUAUCACCGGAGCUUCUUCCACUUCAGUCUCCGAUCAAUCACCUAGGUGAAACUCUUCCUCUUCGAUUCUCUCUUCUCGUGAAUCGCCUCUUCUCAGUUCUCGUCGUCUGUAACAAAAUUUCCUCUAAAAUUUGAAAAGUAAUAUCAAGGUAAAGUUAGAAUUUCCUCUAAAAUUUUAAUCUAGUGUAUAUAUGAAAACAUGCAUGUGACCUCUUUCAAAAUUGAUUUAUAUGUUACUACUAUAUCAUACAUUAGUUUUUUUAAUUUUUUUAAAUAUCCAUCACACCUAUAUUAUUAUAUGCAAAGUGAUUUUUCACAUUUUAGCUCUGAUGUUAAAAUUUAAAGUGAUUAAUAUUGUUUAUAAAUAGUUAUGGAAAAAAAAAUAUGCAUCAAAAGGAGCCAAGCGGCGUCGUUUUCCAGCUGUUUGAGGAGGUUAAGAAGGAGCUCGAUCUCGUCCCUAGAAGCUCCCACGUCUCGCUCGGUCGUCAAAAGUACUCUGACGAGCAGAUCAAGUAAGUUUUCGGAUCUCACCUCCCUAUCUCUGGUGGAUUAGUUACAAGAUUUAGUACUUGAGAAUCUGUUGCUGACGGUUUAUCCAUCGUGUGGUUGUUGUAUUGUAGUGUGGAGUACAAUCUCUCGUAUGUGUAUCAGUAUCACGCCAUGUAUGCUUGCUCCGAUACGCAUUUUUGGUAUCAGGUUCUUUAAGGAAUCGAGUGUGGAAGAAAGAGAGCACGCUGAGAAGUUGAUUCAUCCGUGCUAAUUUCUUUUGAAUGUUUGUGGUGUGAUCUUCAGGGACAUGGCAUUUCAAUAAAAUGCUUCUGGAACUAGUUUGUGUGUUAGUUUCUCAAGCUUGAUUCCAAGACCGGUUCAAUCUGAAAUGAAAUUGAAGUUUUGGUUUAAUCCCAAACAAAAAGGUCCAUCCAAACUUUACAAUAUGGGCCGCCAGACUUUUGGCCCAUCUAAAACCUAACUGACUUGGCUUUCCCGCAACGGCACCGUUUAGCUUCACAUCUCUGACGUUAGUCUGCGUUUCUCGCUCCUCUCUUCCUGAUAGCUCCGUCGCUCAAAACCCUAAUCCAUCGAAAGCCCAUCAACCGACAUGGCGAGUCUAGAGUGCCGGAUGUACGAAGCCAAGUACCCAGAAGUCGACAUGGCUGUGAUGAUCCAAGUCAAGAACAUCGCCGACAUGGGAGCCUACGUGUCCCUCCUCGAGUACAACAACAUCGAAGGCAUGAUCCUCUUCUCCGAGCUCUCCCGCCGUCGGAUCCGGAGUGUCAGCAGCUUGAUCAAGGUCGGGAGAAUCGAGCCCGUCAUGGUCCUGCGUGUGGAUAAAGACAAGGGUUACAUUGAUCUCAGCAAACGUAGAGUCAGCGAGGAAGAUAUUCAGACUUGCGAAGAGAGGUAUAACAAGAGCAAGCUCGUUCAUUCUAUCAUGCGUCAUGUCGCUGAGACUCUUUCUAUCGAUUUGGAGGUAAUUCAAAAUCCAAUCUUUUAUGUAAAGUUCCUACCUUUGUGUAAUCAUAGUAGCUUACAUUGAGUUUGAGUCAAUAAAAAUCGAAUCUUUAGUGAUAUUGAUUAUGCAAAUUCAUGUAUAUAGUGUAAAGUUGCUACCUUUGUGUAAAUUAUAGUAGCUUGCAUUGGUUUGAGUGGAUAAUAAUCGAAUCUUUGGGGAUAAUGAUUAUCCAAAUUAUUUAGCUACCUUUGUGUAAUAAUCAUAGUAGCUUAAAUUGAUUUGAGUUAAGUAAAAAUCGAAUCUUUAGUGAUAUUGGUUAUGCAAAUUCAUGUAUCUAGUGUAAAGUAGCUACCUUUGUGUAAUUAUAGUAGCUUGCAUUGAUUUGAGUAAAUAAAAAUUGAAUCUUUAGUGAUAUUGAUUAUGAAACUUAUGUAUCUAGUGUAAAGUAGCUACCUUGUUAUGUACAUUGAUUUGAAUUUAUCUAUUGCAGGAGUUGUAUGUGAACAUUGGGUGGCCUUUGUACCGGAAACAUGGUCAUGCUUUUGAGGUAAGAGUUUGUGAGUUGAGCUUUUGCUGUAUUCAUGUAGAUAUUUAGUAUUUAGAGAUUUUUGUUUUUUUGUUUUGUUCAGGCUUUCAAGAUCUUAGUGACUGAUCCUGAUUCAGUGUUGGGUUCACUCACACGUGAGGUCAAAGAAGUUGGGCCUGACGGGCAGGAGGUAUAUUACUUUGUUCUCUGGCUUCAUUUUUUUUGUUUUUGUUCCUAAUCUUGGGAUAUUUCUAUUUGUAGGUGACUAAAGUUGUACCUGCUGUUACGGAAGAAGUGAAGGAUGCUCUUGUGAAGAACAUUAGGAGGAGGAUGACACCACAACCGAUGAAAAUCCGUGCUGAUAUCGAGUUGAAAUGUUUUCAGUUUGACGGAGUUGUCCACAUCAAGGUCAUAAACUCUUAUUUGAUUAUCUAUAACAUAUGGAAAGAAUACAUCAAUGGUUUCAUUUGAUUUUCUCACACACAUACUUGUAAUUUCAAUUUCAGGAGGCCAUGAGAAAGGCUGAAGCUGCUGGAAACGAUGACUGUCCUGUGAAGAUUAAGUUGGUUGCUCCGCCUCUUUAUGUCCUUACUACUCAGACUCUUGACAAGGUUAGACAAUCUCUUAUUUUGAAGCUAUGUUUUUAUCUUAUUGUAUUUAAUCUUGUCAGUGUCUAAUAACAUAAUAAACAGGACCAAGGGAUUGAAAUUCUGACGGAAGCCAUAGUAGCUUGCACCGAGACAAUUGAUCAACACAAAGGCAAGCUCGUCGUUAAGGAAGCACCUAGAGCUGUGAGUAUCUUCUUCUUUAGUUGUUGAACCAUCCCAAGUUGCAUAUUACAAGAACUAGCUUUCCUUUAUUUGUAGAGUCUUAAAAUGUGUGUUUGACAGGUGAGUGAAAGAGAUGAUAAGAUGCUGACAGAACACAUGGCUAAGCUAAGAAUGGACAAUGAAGAAAUCAGCGGGGAUGAAGAAAGUGGAGAAGAAGAAGAGGACACAGGGAUGGGUGAAGUUGACAUUGAAGGAGCCGGAAUCAUUGAGUAGAAUUCGAAGAGUUUGUGAGUUGAGCUUUUGCUGUAUUCAUGUAGAUAUUUAGUAUUUAGAGAUUUUUGUUUUUUUGUUUUGUUCAGGCUUUCAAGAUCUUAGUGACUGAUCCUGAUUCAGUGUUGGGUUCACUCACACGUGAGGUCAAAGAAGUUGGGCCUGACGGGCAGGAGGUAUAUUACUUUGUUCUCUGGCUUCAUUUUUUUAGUUUUUGUUCCUAAUCUUGGGAUAUUUCUAUUUGUAGGUGACUAAAGUUGUACCUGCUGUUACGGAAGAAGUGAAGGAUGCUCUUGUGAAGAACAUUAGGAGGAGGAUGACACCACAACCGAUGAAAAUCCGUGCUGAUAUCGAGUUGAAAUGUUUUCAGUUUGACGGAGUUGUCCACAUCAAGGUCAUAAACUCUUAUUUGAUUAUCUAUAACAUAUGGAAAGAAUACAUCAAUGGUUUCAUUUGAUUUUCUCACACACAUACUUGUAAUUUCAAUUUCAGGAGGCCAUGAGAAAGGCUGAAGCUGCUGGAAACGAUGACUGUCCUGUGAAGAUUAAGUUGGUUGCUCCGCCUCUUUAUGUCCUUACUACUCAGACUCUUGACAAGGUUAGACAAUCUCUUAUUUUGAAGCUAUAUAUUGUAUUUAAUCUUGUCAGUGACUAAUAACAUAAUUAAACAGGACCAAGGGAUUGAAAUUCUAACGGAAGCCAUAGCAGCUUGCACCGAGACAAUUGAUCAACACAAAGGCAAGCUCGUCGUUAAGGAAGCACCUAGAGCUGUGAGUAUCUUCUUCUUUAGUUGUUGAACCAUCCCAAGUUGCAUAUUACAAGAACUAGCUUUCCUUUAUUUGUGGAGUCUUAAAAUUUGUGUUUGGCAGGUGAGUGAAAGAGAUGAUAAGAUGCUGACAGAACACAUGGCUAAGCUAAGAAUGGACAAUGAAGAAAUCAGCGGGGAUGAAGAAAGUGGAGAAGAAGAAGAGGACACAGGGAUGGGUGAAGUUGACAUUGAAGGUGCCGGAAUCAUUGAGUAGAAUUCGCCGGUAAUACCGUUUUUUCCGACCAAUCUUCUUUCUGUCUGUUCGUAGUAUUUUUGUUUUAAAAGUAGAAAACAUCCGAGAGGUUGUGGUGUUUCUUCUUUUUGUGGAGACAUGUUUUUCACCCGUUGAGGGGUUUACUCAUGAUUUUAUAUUUGACUAUUUUUGCGGCGUUUGACAUUUUUGAGUUUAAACCUGAAUAGAUUUGGCUAUGAGAAGUGUGGCUAAUCAUCAGUAUACCAGAGUUAAAUCAGAUUUGAUCCCUUGAAAGAUGCAUAUAAUCUAUUAUCUGAGAUCUUAUACUGAGUCUGGUGGAUUCAAAGUUUAAAGCUUUACCAUCUGAAGUUGAAAAAAUAACUAUAUUUGUUCCAAGUAUUCAAAGUGUUUCUUUCUAUGACAAUAUAUAUCCAAGCCCAAAAGAAAAGCAAGUUGUUCAGCUUAGCCGAAAAGUUUGACGUUAAGCCCAUUUUAAAUUUUCUUCAUCUUUUCAGGAAGAAUAAUAUAAAAUAUAUUUUCAUAUUGAUUUUCAUAACAUUAGAACAUGAAAAUGUUGAGAAAAAUAAAUACAUUAUAAUAUGAAAGUAAAGCAAUUUAGUUAGAAAGAAUCGUGGGGUUUGCUUGCUGACUAGUACCCAAACAAGGAAGGAUCCCACAUGGUUUUAAGAAUUGGGAGACUAAAGAAAGCAACAGCUAAGCAGCCUCCACAUUGAACCAGUCAUAAUUUUCUCUCCUCCACAUAAUUAAGAUGACAAAUCAUUCCUUCAACUUCAAUCAUUAUUAACAUAUCUUCACACCAAAUUUACGUGGCAUUUUCUAUUUUGUUUGCCUUGGUUGAAUUUUACAACCGAAUAAAAGUUUGUAGGAAAAAAACAAGAAAAUGAAGAUAGAAACCAUUUGCUACGCCACAAGUCUUUUUUUUUUAUGGCAGCUGGCUAAUUGGGAGUUCCCUUGUGAACCCUUUUACUACUCUACCACAACAUUCUUUGAGACUAAUUUGUUGAACAUUAAAUGUGGCUUUUUCUGGAAAAGUUUGAUUUUAUGAAAAGACGAUAGAAAUUUAGAAAAAUAAGUCUUAGCAUUUGGUAGCCAUUGACGUUGUGUACCCGUUUGGGUUUAGAUCGGAUUUUUAGAUUUUCAAAUUCUGUUUCCAAAACCUCAUUCAAAUUUAUAUAUGUUUGGGUUGAGUAAAUUUAUACUUCAAAUUCAGGUAUAUUAUAUAACUUUGGCAGAAAAUCCAAUUUGGAUUUGAAUUCAUUUUAGAUUCAGUUAAUAAUACUUCAUAUUUUAGUAUUUUUAGAUAUCAUAUCAAAAUAAACCUUAAAUUUAGAUUUGAUAAUUUAUUUAGGUAUUAGAUACUUAUUUUGGAUACUAUUUCAGAUUUAUUUUUGAAUUGAAUAAUUUUGAGUUUCUUUUAGUUACUUUAACAUUCAUUUUUGUGUAUAAUUGUUCAUGUUUAAUUAAUAACAUUUCGGGUUCUAAUAUAUUUCGUAUAUAACCAUUUCCAAUGUUUUUACAGAAUUCAUUUCGGAUAUUUUAGUGGGUAUUUUAGUUCGAGUUUCUAGUUUUUCUUCCCGAACCUAGUAUUUGGUUUUGUUUAAAUUGUUUGGUUUUGAUUUUUUUCCGUCUUGGAAAAGUAAGUAGUAAUAUAAUUGUAUUUUGGUUCGGUUCAGUUUACUAGUACUUGUAAUGUGUUAUCGUUGACCAAUACUCUUUGUUUUUUUGGACGUAUAGAUUCGUUUCCUUAUUAGCCUUAACAAGGUGCAACGCGUUUUCCAUCAAAAAUGAAAAAGUCUUAUGCUUCCUUCCUCUCUUAUCUUCUCAUAAACCCGUCUUUUCGUCAACCUUCUCCCUGUUUUUCUGAUACUCUGCUCCUAGUCUCAAAAUAUUCAGAUCCAUAAAACUCUAGGUUCCAUCAUCUUCUUGCGUCAUCCUGCUCAACUCUCACGUUCUUACUCUGUCAUGAAUGAGAAACGAAGAUCCACCGUUAGUUCGAUACUAAAGAUGCGUUCUCUUAUGGCUUUUGUAGUCCUUCUCAGCUUCGGCUCGUGUUUUUCGCUUAAGGAAGAAGGUACCUGAAGCUUUCUUGCAUGUUUUGUCUGAACGAGUUCCCUGAGAAUAUGUUUUCAUCCUUCUCUGUUUCGCUUUGUGUUUUCAGGUUUAGAUAAAGAUAGAUUAGAGAAAGAUCUAUGGUCUGAUGAAGACUCAGCAAUUCUGUAAGUUUAUUUAUCUCAAAUCUUGUUUGGUAUAACAACAACUUGAACUUGUAGUUGGUGGUUGGUUGGUAGAUCUAUAGUUUCUCUAGUCAUUCCAUAACUUGAGUGACUUCACACACACACACACUCUGUAUCGUAUGUUAUGUAGAAAAAAAAAACCGUUGUUAGUUACAAGUAAGUAUUGUUAGUGAUUGUUGUGAACAAACGCUAAUCAAACAAGAAAAAUCUAGAAAAUUUAGAGAGCAACACUCUAUUUUGAGGUAAAUAUCCGUUAUAAGGUUUUAAUAUUGAUUAUGUAAAUAAAUAAUUUACAAGUUUUUAAAUCCAUAUUCAUACAGCCUCAAAAUCCAAUAUUCAUUUUCUUUAACUUUUUUUUAGUCUACUAAAAAUGAUUUUCAUAAUCCUAAAAGAUAUAUAAUAUCGCAGAGUAAACCUCAUCUCUUAGAUAUCAAUCUUGAUAACGAAUCAAUCUGUCUUGCUCCACAGAUAUUUAAUUUACUUCUAGAAUCAACACUAAACAUGUAUAUUUAUCAUUUUGAUCUUAAAAGGGGACGGUCUGAGAUUUUGGGGUCUUACACGAUUUAGUAAAGAUUUUAAUUUGGGGAACUAAAAUAAUUUUGGAGCAUAUCUAUAUAUAAACUUUUUCAAAAAUUUUGGGACCUAAGAAGAAUGUUUCGUUAGGCUUGGGCCAGGACCGCCUUGAAUUCAUGUUGCAAUGACAUAACCUUAUUUUUGUUUUUCUACUUUCUCUGUAGGAAAGCAGUUGGGUUUCACAGGAAAGCACUUGUACCUCGUGAGCCAUUAACAUACGACAACUUGCCUUCCAGAAGAAACAGCCGCGAGGCUAUGCCUGCAGCUGCAACUAUCACACCACCAUCAUCCCCACAACCUUCUCAUAAAAAUGUCUCAACUCAUUCUUCAACAGCUUCGGAUCCAGAACCUACGCAAGAUGCUUCUACUUCACCUCCUCCUACUCCUCCUCCUACGUCUGUUCCCCAUGAAAACUCUCCUACUCCAAGAACCUCUUCGUCUUCUUCUUCAGUGGUUGUUCCUGUAGUUCUUGCCUGCGUGGGCGGUGUUGUUCUCGUC